AUUUGCCAAAUUUUUGGUCUUUAUCACAAUACAUGAUAUAUAUCUGAAUAUUUUGACCUCACCUCAGAAGGACUUCAUAAAAGGUGCGACUGGGCGACAAAAUCAAAUAACACAGUAUUUUUGACCAAAGACCUCAAUAUCGAUAUUGCAGCAUAUUUGUGCGAAUGACUGUUGGUACCUUUAUAAAAUACAAACACAAUGACAUUUGCCUUAGAGCAUGUUUGUCACAGACCAGCAAAACAUGUGGUGACUUUUCAUUGGAUGAGCUUUGUACUGAACAAACAUUCUUAGCUCAGAAGUACAUAUAUAUUGAAGGUGCAUCAGUUGGAAAGUCAAAAUAUUCCUGACUUGAGUUGAAGUUCUGUGGACCUGAGAGCUACUGAAAACUGAAGAAAAUGAAGAUCCAGAUUCUCCUGCUGGCCUGUGCUUUUGUGGCUGCGAUCAAUGCCGCACCAACAGCAGAUGAUUCUGCUAAACCCAAAGCUAUCAAUGAUGAGGUUAAAGCUGAUGUGCUAAAGCCAAAUCUGGAUGCCGCCGGAGUGAAUGAGCCCAACAUGGAGGACGACUUAGAAGAUGAUGAGCCCGACAUGGACGAAGAUGCAGAAGAUGAUGAGCCCGUAAUGGACGAGGAUGCCGAAGAUGAUGAGCCCGACAUGGACAAGGAUGCCGAAGAUGAUGAGCCCGACAUGGACAAGGAUGCCGAAGAUGAUGAGCCCAACAUGGACAAGGAUUCCGAAGAUGAUGAGCCCGACAUGGACGAGGAUUCCGAAGAUGAUGAGCCCGAUAUGGACGAGGAUUCUGAAGAUGAUGAGCCCGACAUGGACAAGGAUGCCGAAGAUGAUGAGCCCGACAUGGAUAAGGAUGCCGAAGAUGAUGAGCCCAACAUGGACGAGGAUUCCGAAGAUGAUGAGCCCGACAUGGACAAGGAUGCCGAAGAUGAUGAGCCCGACAUGGACAAGGAUGCCGAAGAUGAUGAGCCCAACAUGGACGAGGAUUCUGAAGAUGAUGAGUCCGAGAAGAAUGAGGAUCCCAAGAAAGAUGAGCCCAAGAAAGAUGAGCCCAAGAAAGAUGAGGCUGAGCCUAAGCCUCUUAAGUAAACAUCUGAAAUAGCUGAAUCCCUCACAACACCUUGCCUCUCUCUGACUAACAUCUGAUCUUCAGCAUCACAGGUGUCGACAUGAUGACCACCACGACAUGAUUGCACAUUAAAACCAACUGAGGCGAUGUCUUACAGUGAUGGGAUCAAAUAAAAGCUUUUCACGUGCUGAAAUGAAAUAUUUGCCUGAGUGUCAUUAUUAGUAUUUUCUUGUGCUUUUUACUCAUUAAAUGUUUUUCAGUGCAAGUAUUAUUACAUCCAAAACCCCUAAAAGGUAGCAUUUUCUGUGUAUUUGCUAUAUUUUGAUUCCCACAACCCUGAAAUUAAUCCAAAAUGUAUUCUAAAAGGUGUCCAUUAAAUUAAACAUAUACAGUGCUGUGAAAAAGUAUUUGCCCCCUUACAGAUUUAUUUUGUUUUUGCUUUUUUGUCACACUUGCAUGUUUCAGAUCAUCAAAGACAUUUCAUUAUCAGACAUAGAUAACCUGAGAAAAUACAAAAUACAGUUUUUAAAUGACAAUUUCAUUUAUUAAGGGAAAUAAACUAUCCAAACCAACCCGGUCCUGUGUGAAAAAGUGAUUGCCCCCUAAAUCUAAUAACUGGUUGUGCCACCCUUUGGCAGCAACUACUGCAAUCAAGCAUUUACACGUGAUUCCUAGGAACUAAAACUGUUCCACCUCAGCUCCACUGAUGUAGACAGGGAAGUGUGUCUUUGAUUCUAUUUUUCAAAAUCAACAAUCAGCGCCAUGAUUUUUGCCGAUGUUUGCCAAUGUUGAACGUUCUCUGUGCACCAGUCUGCAUGAUUGUUGAUUCCCUCCCAAUAGGAACUCUCAUCCUUGUUUGUAAUGUGGCCAACGAUGGUGGUGUCAUCUGUGUACUUCACUAUAAAGUGAUGUCUGGGAGCGCAAUUGUGCGUACAGUGUAAACAGUAGGAGGGAGCACAUAGCCCUGGAUGGCUCCGUGCUGAGUGCUAGAAUACAGGAGGUCUGGCUGCCAAUCCGUACUUUCUGGGUUCUACUUGUGAGGAAGUCUAAAUAUCCAUUGCAAAAAGUGGCAGUCAAGCCCAGUGUCUGAAGUUUUCCAAUCAGCCUCAUGGGUGAGCUUGUAUUCAAUGCUGAGCUAAAGUCAACAAACAGCAUUCUGAUGUAGCUGCUUUUAUUUUAAAGUGGUGUGAAAACUGAGUGGAGGGCAGUGGAUAUGGCAUCCUCUGUGGAUCUGCUGGUUCUGAAAGCAUACAGGUGAGGGUUCAGGCGGGCCUAGGUUAAGGUCAGUGUUCAUGAUUCAACAAUAAGAAAGAGACUGGGCAAAGAUGGCCUCCAUGGGAGAGUUCCAAGGAGAAAACCACUACUGACCAAAAAGAACACAAAGGCCUGUCUAACAUUUGCCAAAAAACAUCUUGAUGAUCACGACUUGUGGGAAAAUACUCUGUGGACGGACGAGACAAGAGUAGAACUUUCUGGAAGGUGCGCGUCCCGUUAAAAUUAACUCAGCAAUUCAGAAAAAGAACAUCAUACCAACAGCUUUGCUGCUUCAGGACCUGGAUGACUUGCUGUAAUUGAUUAAUUUCACGCUCAAAAAUCCUCCAAUGUGGCUGAAUUAAAACAAUUCUGCAAAGAUUAGUGGGCCAAAAUUCCUCCACAGUGAUGUAAAAGACUCAUUGCCAGUUAUCGCAAAUGCUUGAUUGCAGUUGUUGCCUCCAAAGGGUGGCACAACCAGUUAUUAGGUUUAGGGGGCAAUCGUUUUUUCACACAGGGCCAGGUUGGUUUGGAUAGUUUAUUUCCCUUAAUAAAUGAAAUUGUCAUUUAAAAAACUGUAUUUUAUAUUUUCUCAGGUAAUCUAUGUCUGAUAAUGAAAUGUCUUUGAUGAUCUGAAACAUGCAAAUGUGACAAAAAAGCAAAAACAAAAUAAAUCUGUAAGGGGGCAAAUACUUUUUCACAGCACUCAAUAUGUUAAAUUUAAUGGACACCUUUUAGAAUACAUUUUGGAUCAAUUUCAGGGUUGUGGGAAUCAAAAUAUAGCAAAGGUACAGAAAAUGCUACCUUUAAGGGGUUUUGGAUGUGAUAAUACUCACACAGACAAACACACAAAAAAGUAAAAAACACAAGAAAAUACUAAUAAUGACACUCAGGCAAAUAUUUCAUUUCAGCACUUGAAAAGCUUUUAUUUGAUCCCAUCACUGUAAGACAUAGCCUCAGUUGGUUUUAAUGCAUCAUCAUGUCGUGGUGGUCAUCAUGUCGACACCCGUGAUGCUGAAGAUUAGAUGUUAGUCAGAGAGCUGCGGAGGAAGAGCAGAUACAGACACAGGUGAGUAUAUAGACUACAAGGCAUGAGCUUAAAUGUUACCUUGCAUCAUGGUAAGUCCAAGUUUUCGGCGGGAUGUUCAGUCAGAUCCUAACUCUGUUUCAAUUUACAUUUGAGCAGAUAAAUAUCUGUUUAUGUACUUAUCAGUACGUUGAUCAUUGAGUGAGGAACACUUAAGCAUCAUGCUGCCAAUUUAAAUAUUUCUCUUACAAGAUUAAAAAAGAUAAAUAGAAAGAAACAAAUUGGGAAUAGACUGAUUACAGAAGUAUACUACAGGUUAAAAGAAAAAACAACAUAAAAAAACUGACUACUACUAUCAUUCACUCACUCACAUGCACAAUUUUUGUUGAUUUUCCGGGUUAUCUCUUUUUGCUCCUAUAAUACAAAGAAUUUCUGUACAAUUUAAGGCCUGCGGGUAUUCACACAUGACAUAUAAGUGCAAGGUUAAGAAGUAUCAGUGGCAAAAGUAAUGGCUGCAAACUUACUUGUGAGGGAUUCAGCUUUUUCAGGUGUUUACUGAAGAGGCUUAGGCUCAGCCUUAUCUUUCUUGGGCUCAUCUUUCUUGGGCUCAUCUUUCUUGGGCUCAUCUUUCUUGGGCUCAUCUUUCUUAGGCUCAUCUUUCUUGGGAUCCUCAUCCUUCUCGGGCUCAUCUUCUUCGGCAUCCUCGUCCAUGUCGGGCUCGUCUUCUUCGGCAUCCUCGUCCAUGUCGGGCUCGUCUUCUUCGGCAUUCUCGUCCAUGUCGGGCUCGUCUUCUUCGGCAUCCUCGUCCAUUUCGGGCUCAUCUUCUUCGGCAUCCUCGUCCAUUUCGGGCUCAUCUUCUUCGGCAUCCUCGUCCAUGUUGGGCUCAUCAUCUUCGGCAUCCUC
RNAcentral lists this long non-coding RNA (4258 nucleotides) under Sparus aurata (gilthead seabream). RNAcentral's name for it is "lncRNA (ENSSAUG00010006184.1)". Lineage: Eukaryota; Metazoa; Chordata; Actinopteri; Spariformes; Sparidae. The record is from RNAcentral.